Molecule: ribosomal RNA, 440 nt
Filed under: uncultured bacterium
Lineage: Bacteria
Description: partial 16S ribosomal RNA
Rfam family: Bacterial small subunit ribosomal RNA
Source: RNAcentral
CCUACGGGUGGCAGCAGUGGGGAAUAUUGCACAAUGGAGGAAACCCUGAUGCAGCGACGCCGCGUGAGUGAAGAAGUAUUUCGGUACGUAAAGCUCUAUCAGCAGGGAAGAAAAUGACGGUACCUGACUAAGAAGCCCCGGCUAACUACGUGCCAGCAGCCGCGGUAAUACGUAGGGUGCAAGCGUUAUCCGGAUUUACUGGGUUUAAAGGGAGCGUAGACGGCGUAGAAAGUCUGUAGUGAAAGUCCAGGGCUUAACCUUGGAAUUGCAGUUGAUACUGGUCAGCUAGAGUGCAGGAGAGGUAAGCGGAAUGCGUGGUGUAGCGGUGAAAUGCUUAGAUAUCAGGAGGAACACCAGUUGCGAAGGCAGCUUACUGGACUGUAACUGACGUGGAGGCUCGAAAGCGUGGGGAGCAAACAGGAUUAGAUACCCUAGUAGUC